Ostrea edulis (European flat oyster) is the source of this 404-nucleotide long non-coding RNA. RefSeq lists it as uncharacterized. NCBI's taxonomy places the organism in Eukaryota, Metazoa, Mollusca, Bivalvia, Ostreida, Ostreidae. The record is from RefSeq and is a predicted model, not a curated record. The transcript has 3 exons.
GUUCAAUCGAAAUUUUGCACUGUGGUCAAAGGAAAAGGAAUACAUGUAUCUACCUUUUAGCAUCCCUGAUCUCCCCAAAAACUAUGAACAUUGUGCAAGAAUUCGGAUACAUAACCUUGGGAAUGAAUAUUUUGUUUUGAACGGCAUUUUGAGAAAGAUUCUUUGAAUGAGGAUAUCAGGCUAAUCCAUUUUCUUUUGGAAACCAAUGAAAAACUCAUAUGCAGAACCUAUUGACCAACCUGGACUAUCAGCAUCUAAGGAAACAGCUCAAUGAAGACAUGAAUAGUGACUAAAAUCCAUAUUGAAGAAUAAAUUAACUUUGUGCAACAUAUACAGAUAGAAUUGCCCAGUCAUUGUCCAUCAUAUGUGCUAAGGAAUGUUCAAGUGAAGAAUGAAGAAGUGAA